CCGUCGCCGUAACCAUUGUACGGACGUCGCGACCCGUUCGGUGUCGGUCUGAGGAGACGUGUAAAAGUUCGCCGACGUUUUGCGUCCAUUCGUGGGUGCGCGUCGACGAGUGCGCGUUCUUGUUUUCUGGCCGACUCGCCGGACGGUACGCGUAACGGUGACCGCGGCGACCUUUCACGAGCGUCGUCGUCGGUACCGGUCUGCGACGAAUCUUCGGGCCUCUUUCCGACCCGUCUUGAAACACGGACCAAGGAGUCUAACGUGCGCGCGAGUCGCGGGGUGUCGAGCGGUUGGCGGUGUUCCUUGUGGGCGUCGUCGGCCGUUCGUUACAAUACGAAACCCGUCUCGUUUUACGAAAGGCGCAAUGAAAGUGAAUUUUUUUUUGGGGAAGAUGACGUUACCGAGUUCACGUUUCGCGCUCUCUGUAGCGCGGCCGGUCGUCCGCAUUCCCAGGGCGUCUCAACGGCCCGGCGGCGUUGCGGAU
RNAcentral lists this ribosomal RNA (484 nucleotides) under Ferrisia malvastra. RNAcentral's name for it is "eukaryotic LSU rRNA". Lineage: Eukaryota; Metazoa; Arthropoda; Insecta; Hemiptera; Pseudococcidae. The record is from RNAcentral.